GAUGAACGCUGGCGGCGUGCCUAAUACAUGCAAGUCGAGCGAACAGACGAGGAGCUUGCUCCUCUGACGUUAGCGGCGGACGGGUGAGUAACACGUGGAUAACCUACCUAUAAGACUGGGAUAACUUCGGGAAACCGGAGCUAAUACCGGAUAAUAUAUUGAACCGCAUGGUUCAAUAGUGAAAGACGGUUUUGCUGUCACUUAUAGAUGGAUCCGCGCCGCAUUAGCUAGUUGGUAAGGUAACGGCUUACCAAGGCAACGAUGCGUAGCCGACCUGAGAGGGUGAUCGGCCACACUGGAAGUGAGACACGGUCCAGACUCCUACGGGAGGCAGCAGUAGGGAAUCUGCCGCAAUGGGCGAAAGCCUGACGGAGCAACGCCGCGUGAGUGAUGAAGGUCUUCGGAUCGUAAAACUCUGUUAUUAGGGAAGAACAAAUGUGUAAGUAACUAUGCACGUCUUGACGGUACCUAAUCAGAAAGCCACGGCUAACUACGUG
RNAcentral lists this ribosomal RNA (497 nucleotides) under uncultured bacterium. RNAcentral describes it as "partial 16S ribosomal RNA". It matches the Rfam family "Bacterial small subunit ribosomal RNA", at positions 28 to 507 of the family's 1533-position model. The record is from RNAcentral.